This 495-nucleotide ribosomal RNA is filed under the name uncultured bacterium. RNAcentral's name for it is "partial 16S ribosomal RNA". It matches the Rfam family "Bacterial small subunit ribosomal RNA", at positions 28 to 507 of the family's 1533-position model. The record is from RNAcentral.
GACGAACGCUGGCGGCGUGCCUAAUACAUGCAAGUAGAACGCUGAAGGAGGAGCUUGCUUCUCCGGAUGAGUUGCGAACGGGUGAGUAACGCGUAGGUAACCUGCCUGUUAGCGGGGGAUAACUAUUGGAAACGAUAGCUAAUACCGCAUAACAGUAGAUGUUGCAUGACAUUUGCUUAAAAGGUGCAAUUGCAUCACUACCAGAUGGACCUGCGUUGUAUUAGCUAGUUGGUGAGGUAACGGCUCACCAAGGCGACGAUACAUAGCCGACCUGAGAGGGGGAGCGGCCACACUGGGACUGAGACACGGCCCAGACUCCUACGGGAGGCAGCAGUAGGGAAUCUUCGGCAAUGGACGGAAGUCUGACCGAGCAACGCCGCGUGAGUGAAGAAGGUUUUCGGAUCGUAAAGCUCUGUUGUAAGAGAAGAACGAGUGUGAGAGUGGAAAGUUCACACUGUGACGGUAUCUUACCAGAAAGGGACGGCUAACUACGUG